UUGGUGUAGUAAUUGGUGAAGAUGAUUUGUUGGGAUUUUUCUCUUUGAUUUCCUGAUGAGAGUUGAGAAAAAUCUUGCUAGCUUGAAAGAUGAAAUGAUGAUCUUGGAUUUUUACAUGUAAAAAGAAAAAGAAAGUGUCUUGUGAGAGUUUUUGCAAAUGGAAUGGAAAAUAUUCUUGUGUUAGACAAGUUCUUUUUUUUUUUUGGUGAGUAAUUUUAUUUUAUAGAACUUGUAUAGACAGUUUGAUGCCCGACCCCGUGCAUAGCAG
RNAcentral lists this unclassified non-coding RNA (268 nucleotides) under Hevea brasiliensis (rubber tree). Lineage: Eukaryota; Viridiplantae; Streptophyta; Magnoliopsida; Malpighiales; Euphorbiaceae. The record is from RNAcentral.